CCUCCCCUUUCAUUCAAUACUUAGUGCUAGGGAUGCUCCCUCCAUCUCCAUGACAUGCUGGUUGCAAAUACUUUUAUCUCGGUGAGGAAAGCAGGCUGGAGAACGCAUAUGAUCACACGGACCAUCCAAGACACCACUCCUCAGAAAUCAACAACGCACACAAAAGCAGUCACUUCUAGACCUAGAGUACAAGACACAACCUUUCCCUGAUGUGUAGUAGCAGCAAUGAAAGGCAAGAUCCUGUCCUGUGACAAACCCCAAUCUAGUUAAUACUGACUGCUGAAUCUACCAACUCUGCCAUUUAACAGGAUAUAAUUUAAGUCGUCACUAUCCAUAAGUGGAUGCCACAGGAGAAAUGGCUAGAUCCACUGGACUUUGCCCAGGACCAUAUUUAUGUCCUCCUUGGUAUAAAUCACAAUGCUUAGAGAGUUUUCCUUACAAGAUAUCAACCUGACUGUUACGUGAGGUCAUGAACAAUUGAGAGGCAACUGGUUCAGAAAUGCCAGGAAGGACAGCUUUUCAAGUCACAGCUCUGUCACAUCCUUUGUAUUCAUGGACAAUUUCCUUUGCAAGUUAACAUUUAUCUACCUUCUGAUAAGAAUAAAGAGAACUUCACAUUGCUGCUGUCCUGUAAAAAUCUUAGUCUAAUAUAAUAGCAACCAGUAAAGGGUUCCCUUUUUGGAAAAAUCAAGAAGGACAUCAGGCUUUGCAGUCACACUUCCCUUGUGUGAACCAUGCCGCUGCUGUUAUUGCUAUAGUCUAAGGGCUGUAAUAUUAAUAAGCUUUCA
Molecule: long non-coding RNA, 788 nt
Organism: Aquila chrysaetos chrysaetos
Lineage: Eukaryota; Metazoa; Chordata; Aves; Accipitriformes; Accipitridae
Exons: 3
Source: RefSeq, a predicted model, not a curated record